UUUGGGAGGCCAAGGCAGGAGGAUUGCUUGAGCCCAGGAGUUUGAGACCAAUCUGGGCAACAAAGUGAGACCCUCUCUCUACCAAA
This is a microRNA precursor of Colobus angolensis palliatus, 86 nucleotides long. The record is from Ensembl. NCBI's taxonomy places the organism in Eukaryota, Metazoa, Chordata, Mammalia, Primates, Cercopithecidae.